GAAAUAUGAAAUCCAAGAUAAAGCUUCUAACUUUUUUCUUUAGCGGUGAAACUCCGUUAAUAUUUCU
This 67-nucleotide transfer RNA is filed under the name Melanotus villosus. Its description in RNAcentral is "tRNA-Ser". Lineage: Eukaryota; Metazoa; Arthropoda; Insecta; Coleoptera; Elateridae. The record is from RNAcentral.